AUCGUAACUCCUACGGGAGGCAGCAGUGGGGAAUAUUGGACAAUGGGCGCAAGCCUGAUCCAGCCAUGCCGCGUGAGUGAUGAAGGCCCUAGGGUUGUAAAGCUCUUUUGUGCGGGAAGAUAAUGACGGUACCGCAAGAAUAAGCCCCGGCUAACUUCGUGCCAGCAGCCGCGGUAAUACGAAGGGGGCUAGCGUUGCUCGGAAUCACUGGGCGUAAAGGGUGCGUAGGCGUGUCUUUAAGUCAGGGGUGAAAUCCUGGAGCUCAACUCCAGAACUGCCUUUGAUACUGAGGAUCUUGAGUUCGGGAGAGGUGAGUGGAAUUGCGAGUGUAGAGGUGAAAUUCGUAGAUAUUCGCAAGAACACCAGUGGCGAAGGCAGCUCACUGGCCCGAUACUGACGCUGAUGCACGAAAGCGUGGGGAGCAAACAGGAUUAGAAACCCGGGUAGUCCUAGAGC
This 456-nucleotide ribosomal RNA is filed under the name uncultured bacterium. RNAcentral describes it as "bacterial SSU rRNA". It matches the Rfam family "Bacterial small subunit ribosomal RNA", at positions 329 to 802 of the family's 1533-position model. The record is from RNAcentral.